GGAGAGAUGCCGGAGCGGCUGAACGGGCCAGUCUCGAAAACUGGAUUAGGGGCAACGCUACUGGGGGUUCAAAUCCCCCGUCUCUCCAACA
RNAcentral lists this transfer RNA (91 nucleotides) under Pectobacterium carotovorum subsp. carotovorum. Its description in RNAcentral is "tRNA-Ser". It matches the Rfam family "tRNA". Rfam says of the family: Transfer RNA (tRNA) molecules are approximately 80 nucleotides in length. Their secondary structure includes four short double-helical elements and three loops (D, anti-codon, and T loops). The record is from RNAcentral. Lineage: Bacteria; Pseudomonadati; Pseudomonadota; Gammaproteobacteria; Enterobacterales; Pectobacteriaceae.